ACUAGUAGAGUGGCGCACGGGUGAGUAACGCGUAGAUAACCUGUCCUUAUGUCUGGGAUACCCCACCGAAAGGUGGACUAAUACCGGAUGUUCUUGUUUUUCAUAAGCUUUACAAGAAAAGGUGGCCUCUGAUUUAAGCUACUGCAUGAGGAGGGGUCUGCGUACCAUUAGCUAGUUGGUGGGGUAAGAGCCUACCAAGGCUUCGAUGGUUAGCGGGUCUGAGAGGAUGAUCCGUCACACUGGCACUGAAACACGGGCCAGACUCCUACGGGAGGCAGCAGUGAGGAAUAUUGCGCAAUGGGGGAAACCCUGACGCAGCGACGCCGCGUGAGUGAGGAAGGCUUUCGGGUCGUAAAGCUCUGUCAAAAGGGAAGAAAUGUAUAUAAGCUAAUACCUUGUAUAUUUGACGGUACCUUUAAAGGAAGCACCGGCUAACUCCGUGCCAGCAGCCGCGGUAAUACGGAGGGUGCAAGCGUUGUUCGGAAUUACUGGGCGUAAAGGGCGCGCAGGCGGCCAAAUAAGUCAGAUGUGAAAGCCCACGGCUUAACCGUGGAAGUGCAUUUGAAACUGUUUGGCUUGAGUAUCAGAGGGGAAAGUGGAAUUCCUGGUGUAGAGGUGAAAUUCGUAGAUAUCAGGAGGAAUACCAGUGGCGAAGGCGACUUUCUGGCUGAAUACUGACGCUGAGGCGCGAAAGCGUGGGGAGCAAACAGGAUUAGAUACCCUGGUAGUCCACGCCGUAAACGAUGUCAACUAGGUGUAGGGGGUGUUGAUCCCUUCUGUGCCGCAGCUAACGCAUUAAGUUGACCGCCUGGGGAGUACGGUCGCAAGAUUAAAACUCAAAGAAAUUGACGGGGGCCCGCACAAGCGGUGGAGUAUGUGGU
Molecule: ribosomal RNA, 881 nt
Filed under: delta proteobacterium FM1B-D4
Lineage: Bacteria; Deltaproteobacteria
Description: bacterial SSU rRNA
Rfam family: Bacterial small subunit ribosomal RNA
Source: RNAcentral